Molecule: transfer RNA, 71 nt
Filed under: Mordellidae sp. GENSP01
Lineage: Eukaryota; Metazoa; Arthropoda; Insecta; Coleoptera; Mordellidae
Description: tRNA-Lys
Source: RNAcentral
CAUUAGAUGACUGAAACGCAAGUAUUGGUCUCUUAAACCAUUUUAUAGUAGACUAGCUCCUACUUCUAAUG